Molecule: ribosomal RNA, 466 nt
Filed under: uncultured archaeon
Lineage: Archaea
Description: bacterial SSU rRNA
Rfam family: Archaeal small subunit ribosomal RNA
Source: RNAcentral
GCCGCGGUAACACCGGCGGCUCGAGUGGUAACCGUUAUUAUUGGGUCUAAAGGGUCUGUAGCCGGCCGGAUAAGUCUCUUGAGAAAUCUGGCAGCUUAACUGUCAGGCUUUCAGGAGAUACUGUCUGGCUCGAGGCCGGGAGAGGUGAGAGGUACUUCAGGGGUAGGGGUGAAAUCUUGUAAUCCUUGAAGGACCACCAGUGGCGAAGGCGUCUCACCAGAACGGACCUGACGGCAAGGGACGAAAGCUAGGGGCACGAACCGGAUUAGAUACCCGGGUAGUCCUAGCCGUAAACGAUACUCGCUAGGUGUCGGCCACGGUGCGACCGUUGUCGGUGCCGUAGGGAAGCCGUGAAGCGAGCCACCUGGGAAGUACGGCCGCAAGGCUGAAACUUAAAGGAAUUGGCGGGGGAGCACCACAACGGGUGGAGCUUGCGGUUUAAUUGGAUUCAACGCCGGGAAGGGCG